RNAcentral lists this ribosomal RNA (254 nucleotides) under uncultured bacterium. RNAcentral's name for it is "partial 16S ribosomal RNA". It matches the Rfam family "Bacterial small subunit ribosomal RNA", at positions 524 to 776 of the family's 1533-position model. The record is from RNAcentral.
UACGGAGGGUGCGAGCGUUGUCCGGAAUCAUUGGGCGUAAAGGGCGCGUAGGUGGCCCGGUCAGUCUUUGGUGAAAGCGCGGGGCUCAACCCUGCGUCGGCCAGGGAUACUGCCGCGGCUCGAGCACUGUAGAGGCAGGCGGAAUUCCGGGUGUAGCGGUGGAAUGCGUAGAGAUCCGGAAGAAUACCCGUGGCGAAGGCGGCCAGCUGGGCCGGAUCCGACGCUGAGGCGCGAAAGCGUGGGGAGCAAACAGG